UCGCCUUUUCGCUUCCACCUCGAGUGCAGACGGCACCUCGAUCGAUGAGACGUACAAAGUGAGGGCAUACAGAAGGAGGAGGAGAAGAGAUAAAAAGCCAUCUUUUCCCUCGUCACAUUGUCAAUCAGAUUUAAUUAAGCUAAAACUAUAUCAAAUCAAAUAAAGAAAUCACAUCAAUUAUUCCAUAACAAGUGAAUUUUCUACAUAACAGACCUCUGCUUGCUUGUUGGUGUCUCUGCUCAACGCAUUUUGAGAUGGGUGUCUAGCGUCCUUCUGCAG
RNAcentral lists this long non-coding RNA (279 nucleotides) under Musa acuminata (dwarf banana). Its description in RNAcentral is "long non-coding RNA (MACU_LNC011069)". Lineage: Eukaryota; Viridiplantae; Streptophyta; Magnoliopsida; Zingiberales; Musaceae. The record is from RNAcentral.